AACAAUGAAUAUUACAUAUUAGAUUUAAUAUUUUUUGAAUCCCCAAAAUCUAGUAUAGAAAGUUAACACGUUAAAUAUUUCCCCCGGGGAGUAAAACCCCAAGGGUGAAACUCAAAGGGAUUGACGGGAGCUUAUACCUACCGGGGAGCAUGGGGUUUAAUCCCAUUGUCCGCGGGGAAUCUUACCAAUUUUUGACAAGUUAUUUUUUUUUUAAAAAUACAGGUGUUGCAUGGCCGUCGUCAGCUUAUGUUUUGAAAUUUAAUAUAUAAGUACAACCCUUAUUUUAAUUUGCUAUAAUUUAAAAAGAAUAAUAUAAUAUGUAAGGAGAAUUAAAUUUCCAUAUAUAUAAAUAUAUAAUAAAUAAUAAGAUUAUAUAUUUAUAUUAAAAGGAUGAAGAUAGUCG
RNAcentral lists this ribosomal RNA (403 nucleotides) under Blastocystis sp. RNAcentral describes it as "partial small subunit ribosomal RNA". It matches the Rfam family "Bacterial small subunit ribosomal RNA", at positions 801 to 1191 of the family's 1533-position model. The record is from RNAcentral. Lineage: Eukaryota; Bigyra; Opalinata; Blastocystidae.